RNAcentral lists this ribosomal RNA (554 nucleotides) under Aureobasidium pullulans. RNAcentral's name for it is "partial large subunit ribosomal RNA". It matches the Rfam family "Eukaryotic large subunit ribosomal RNA", at positions 88 to 657 of the family's 3401-position model. Lineage: Eukaryota; Fungi; Ascomycota; Dothideomycetes; Dothideales; Saccotheciaceae. The record is from RNAcentral.
GGCGAGUGAAGCGGCAACAGCUCAAAUUUGAAAGCUGGCCUUCGGGUCCGCAUUGUAAUUUGUAGAGGAUGCUUUGGGGCAGCCGCCUGUCUAAGUUCCUUGGAACAGGACGUCAUAGAGGGUGAGAAUCCCGUAUGUGACAGGACAUGGCACCCUAUGUAAAGCUCCUUCGACGAGUCGAGUUGUUUGGGAAUGCAGCUCUAAAUGGGAGGUAAAUUUCUUCUAAAGCUAAAUAUUGGCGAGAGACCGAUAGCGCACAAGUAGAGUGAUCGAAAGAUGAAAAGCACUUUGGAAAGAGAGUUAAAAAGCACGUGAAAUUGUUGAAAGGGAAGCGCUUGCAAUCAGACUUGUUUAAACUGUUCGGCCGGUCUUCUGACCGGUUUACUCAGUUUGGACAGGCCAGCAUCAGUUUCGGCGGCCGGAUAAAGGCUCUGGGAAUGUGGCCUCCACUUCGGUGGAGGUGUUAUAGCCCAGGGUGUAAUACGGCCAGCCGGGACUGAGGUCCGCGCUUCGGCUAGGAUGCUGGCGUAAUGGUUGUAAGCGACCCGUCUUGA